GUAAAGAGCUGUUUCAAAGGGAAUGUAAACAGAUUGCCUCCAGGCAAGAGGAAGAGAGGACAGAGGUACCAGAAGGCUCCGGUUGGAAGCCCAGAAUUCGUCAACACGGAAAUAGGCUCUUCAAGAUAAAAAAAAAAAAAAAAAAAACUUGACCAAGAUCUUGUUGCUAGAAAAUAGCAAAGCCAGGACGGGCAUUACAGCAAGGUGCCGCGGAAAAUCUCCAACCCUGCCGCGAACAUACUAACUCCUGUCUCUCCUUCAAAAACUCAAUGAUCUGAAGUGCACAUGUAUGUAAAUUUACAAAAGAAGAAACAGCGACUUCCAGGCCUGAAAAUCUCUUGGGGUGUAAAUGCUUCUUCUCCCGAACACUUUACAAGAGGAAAAUUUUAUCUUUGAUUUGGGUCUGAGGCAACUGUAUGAAAUUUUCCUUCAAACAAGAAAGGUUUGGGGACUUCUCUGGUGGUGCAGUGGAUGGGAGUCCGCCUACCAAUGCAGGGGACACAGGCUCGAUCCUGGUCUGGCAAGAUCCUACCUGCUGUGGAGCAACUAAGCCCGAGUGCCACGACUACUGAGCCUGCAAUUUAGAGCUUGUGCUCUGCAACAGGAGAAGCCACCACGAUGAGAAGGCCACACACAGCAAAGGAGAGUAGUCCCAGAUCACGGCAACAAAGAACCAGAACAGCCAAAAAUAAAUAAAUCAAUAAAAUUAUUUUAAAAAAGAAAGGUUUGGGAGUAGUGGAGUGUUUUUGUACAACCCAGGGUAGAUGUGGUACCAAGAGACAAAAGUAAAUAAAUAAAAGCCAUACUGUGGUCAGAACAAG
Long non-coding RNA from Bos taurus (domestic cattle), 821 nucleotides. The record is from Ensembl. NCBI's taxonomy places the organism in Eukaryota, Metazoa, Chordata, Mammalia, Artiodactyla, Bovidae.